UGGGGAAUAUUGGACAAUGGGCGCAAGCCUGAUCCAGCCAUGCCGCGUGAGUGAUGAAGGCCCUAGGGUUGUAAAGCUCUUUCACCGGUGAAGAUAAUGACGGUAACCGGAGAAGAAGCCCCGGUUAACUUCGUGCCAGCAGCCGCGGUAAUACGAAGGGGGCUAGCGUUGUUCGGAUUUACUGGGCGUAAAGCGCACGUAGGCGGACUAUUAAGUCAGGGGUGAAAUCCCGGGGCUCAACCCCGGAACUGCCUUUGAUACUGGUAGUCUUGAGUUCGAGAGAGGUGAGUGGAAUUCCGAGUGUAGAGGUGAAAUUCGUAGAUAUUCGGAGGAACACCAGUGGCGAAGGCGGCUCACUGGCUCGAUACUGACGCUGAGGUGCGAAAGCGUGGGGAGCAAACAGG
Molecule: ribosomal RNA, 404 nt
Filed under: Actinomycetes bacterium
Lineage: Bacteria; Bacillati; Actinomycetota; Actinomycetes
Description: Actinobacteria bacterium partial 16S ribosomal RNA
Rfam family: Bacterial small subunit ribosomal RNA
Source: RNAcentral